UCGCUCUCUCGCGCUUUCUCUCACUCUUGCAAUUUCCAAAAAAAAAUUUCCCCUUCGCAACUAAAUAAUCACUUUUUGAGUUACAUUUCCCGGUGGUGAUCUACAGUUUUGUGUUACAGUGGUUUCAGUUGUAACAAGCUUUGUUUACUGUUAUGUAACGGGUCACCCCAAACCGUAUCACCUGUAAUUAAAGUUCAAAAUACGACAACGAUUACGAAAUCUGUGAUAAAAAAACAAGAGAGAAUCAAGUGCUAUUGCAAAAACCGUUAAAGUUUUAAAAUUCGAAUUUUAAACGCGUGUUCCUGUUGCGGUUUUUUAAAUUAAAUUCGAUGUUGUUUUCUUUUAAAGAAGAUGACGUCACAAGAGUCGUCGUCCACGAUGACGAAGAAUUUUCUGACAGUCACCAACAUCGUGAAUGAGGGUAUCAAGGGCAGCAAAAUAUCGA
This is a long non-coding RNA of Ostrinia nubilalis (European corn borer), 445 nucleotides long. RefSeq lists it as uncharacterized. NCBI's taxonomy places the organism in Eukaryota, Metazoa, Arthropoda, Insecta, Lepidoptera, Crambidae. The record is from RefSeq and is a predicted model, not a curated record. The transcript is spliced from 3 exons.